RNAcentral lists this ribosomal RNA (253 nucleotides) under uncultured bacterium. RNAcentral describes it as "partial 16S ribosomal RNA". It matches the Rfam family "Bacterial small subunit ribosomal RNA", at positions 524 to 776 of the family's 1533-position model. The record is from RNAcentral.
UACAGAGGGUGCAAGCGUUAAUCAGAAUUACUGGGCAUAAAGCGUGCGUAGACGGUUAUUUAAGUCAGGUGUGAAAGCCCAGGGCUCAACCUUGGAAUUGCAUUUGAGACUGAAUAGCUAGGGUGCGGAAGAGGGAAGCGGAAUUUCCGGUGUAGCGGUGAAAUGCGUAGAUAUCGGAAGGAACACCAGUGGCGAAAGCGGCUUCCUGGUCCAGCACCGACGUUCAAGCACGAAAGCGUGGGGAGCAAACAGG